CCAACUCCAAUCUCCCCAUCCAAUGCCAAGCUGCCACGUCCAUAAGGAUUUGAUCCUAAAACUCCUUAUCUAAGGAUCAAUCCUUAGAGCAUGUUUAUUGGGGUCCCCUAAGAGGAUUGCUUAGCAUAAUUGGGGUUUAAAAAUAAAGAAAAAAUGAGAUUAAAGCAAGGGGCGUAGCUUAAUUACGACACCGAAGGGGCGUCCCUUACGAGCCACGUGUCGCGAUAUUACAGAGGAGAGGAGAGGAGCGGUGUCGAGGUUUCGUGAAUUUUUGUUCGUUCUCUCUUUCGUUCGUUUUCUCUCGAAAGCGAAAGGCGAUUUCAAUGGAUUCUCUCCCUCUCGGUGGAAGUGAGAUCGGAGUUUUUGAGGAGACAACUAUCAGAAAGAGGAUGGAAACAAGUUUGAAUCCAAUCAGGGAGAAGAAAGCAAAGAAGAAGUUCCAUCAAAGGGAGAUGCUCUGAGACAAUGAAGAAGUAUUGCAGCACGGAAGUGAUUGAACGGUGACGGGCAUAACUCGCAGCUUGAAAAUCAUGAUCUACUUUUCGGUCACAAGGCAUACAAGAACAUGAGACUACAAGAACAUGAGACUGAAAGCUGAGAGAGUACACGAGAGAGGUCACCGGAGUCGGAGGCAGACAAGGACAGUGCUUGUCUUGUAUCAUGAAAGUCACGCUUGUGUUGUAUACAAAUGGUUUUGUUUUUUUUUUUUUUUGCAUCAGAAACACACAUAUAAAUUGUGUUCUCCAAUCUCUCCAUACUUGUAGUUUUUUACCUUUCCAAUCUCCCAUUGUUAAGAACCUUAAUUAAGUAACCACCA
Long non-coding RNA from Raphanus sativus (radish), 817 nucleotides. RefSeq lists it as uncharacterized. The record is from RefSeq and is a predicted model, not a curated record. NCBI's taxonomy places the organism in Eukaryota, Viridiplantae, Streptophyta, Magnoliopsida, Brassicales, Brassicaceae. The transcript has 3 exons.